Molecule: ribosomal RNA, 497 nt
Filed under: uncultured bacterium
Lineage: Bacteria
Description: partial 16S ribosomal RNA
Rfam family: Bacterial small subunit ribosomal RNA
Source: RNAcentral
GAUGAACGCUGGCGGCGUGCCUAAUACAUGCAAGUCGAGCGAACGGACGAGAAGCUUGCUUCUCUGAUGUUAGCGGCGGACGGGUGAGUAACACGUGGAUAACCUACCUAUAAGACUGGGAUAACUUCGGGAAACCGUAGCUAAUACCGGAUAAUAUUUUGAACCGCAUGGUUCAAAAGUGAAAGACGGUCUUGCUUUCACUUAUAGAUGGAGCCGCGCUGCAUUAGCUAGUUGGUAAGGUAACGGCUUACCAAGGCAACGAUGCAUAGCCGACCUGAGAGGGUGAUCGGCCACACUGGAACUGAGACACGGUCCAGACUCCUACGGGAGGCAGCAGUAGGGAAUCUUCCGCAAUGGGCGAAAGCCUGACGGAGCAACGCCGCGUGAGUGAUGAAGGUCUUCGGAUCGUAAAACUCUGUUAUUAGGGAAGAACAUAUGUGUAAGUAACUGUGCACAUCUUGACGGUACCUAAUCAGAAAGCCACGGCUAACUACGUG